GACGAACGCUGGCGGCGUGCUUAACACAUGCAAGUCGAACGGAAAGGCCCUGCUUUUGUGGGGUGCUCGAGUGGCGAACGGGUGAGUAACACGUGAGUAACCUGCCCUUGACUUUGGGAUAACUUCAGGAAACUGGGGCUAAUACCGGAUAGGAGCUCCUGCUGCGUGGUGGGGGUUGGAAAGUUUCGGCGGUUGGGGAUGGACUCGCGGCUUAUCAGCUUGUUGUUGGGGUAGUGGCUUACCAAGGCUUUGACGAGUAGCCGGCCUGAGAGGGUGACCGGCCACAUUGGGACUGAGAUACGGACCAGACUCCUACGGGAGGCAGCAGUGGGGAAUAUUGCACAAGGGGCGGAAGCCUGAUACAGCAACGCCGCGUGCGGGAUGACGGCCUUCGGGUUGUAAACCGCUUUCGCCUGUGACGAAGCGUGAGUGACGGUAAUGGGUAAAGAAGCACCGGCUAACUACGUG
Molecule: ribosomal RNA, 468 nt
Filed under: uncultured bacterium
Lineage: Bacteria
Description: partial 16S ribosomal RNA
Rfam family: Bacterial small subunit ribosomal RNA
Source: RNAcentral